CAGCGCCACGGUAAUACGAAGGUCCCGAGCGUUGUUCGGAAUCACUGGGCGUAAAGGGAGCGUAGGCGGCGUGGUAAGUCAGAUGUGAAAUCCCGGGGCUCAACCCCGGAACUGCAUCCGAUACUGCCAUGCUAGAGGAUUGGAGAGGUAGCUGGAAUUCUUGGUGUAGCAGUGAAAUGCGUGGAGAUCAAGAGGAACACUCGUGGCGAAAGCGAGCUACUGGACAAUAACUGACGCUGAGGCUCGAAGGCCAGGGUAGCGAAAGGGAUUAGAUACCCCUGUAGUCCCUGUCUCUUAUACC
RNAcentral lists this ribosomal RNA (301 nucleotides) under uncultured bacterium. RNAcentral's name for it is "partial 16S ribosomal RNA". It matches the Rfam family "Bacterial small subunit ribosomal RNA", at positions 509 to 808 of the family's 1533-position model. The record is from RNAcentral.